Molecule: ribosomal RNA, 484 nt
Filed under: uncultured bacterium
Lineage: Bacteria
Description: partial 16S ribosomal RNA
Rfam family: Bacterial small subunit ribosomal RNA
Source: RNAcentral
AUUGAACGCUGGCGGCAUGCUUUACACAUGCAAGUCGAACGGCAGCGCGGGCUUCGGCCUGGCGGCGAGUGGCGAACGGGUGAGUAAUGCAUCGGAACGUGCCCAGUAGUGGGGGAUAGCCCGGCGAAAGCCGGAUUAAUACCGCAUACGACCUGAGGGUGAAAGCGGGGGACCGAAAGGCCUCGCGCUAUUGGAGCGGCCGAUGUCGGAUUAGCUAGUUGGUGGGGUAAAGGCUUACCAAGGCGACGAUCCGUAGCUGGUCUGAGAGGACGACCAGCCACACGGGGACUGGGACACGGCCCAGACUCCUACGGGAGGCAGCAGUGGGGAAUUUUGGACAAUGGGGGCAACCCUGAUCCAGCCAUGCCGCGUGCGGGAAGAAGGCCUUCGGGUUGUAAACCGCUUUUGUUCGGGAAGAAAUCCUCUGGGCUAAUACCCCGGGGGGAUGACGGUACCGGAAGAAUAAGCACCGGCUAACUACGUG